This 116-nucleotide small nuclear RNA is filed under the name Oryza sativa Indica Group (long-grained rice). RNAcentral describes it as "U5 spliceosomal RNA". Lineage: Eukaryota; Viridiplantae; Streptophyta; Magnoliopsida; Poales; Poaceae. The record is from RNAcentral.
AAAAACAUUUGGCACAUCUCACGGCUGAAAGCUUUGAAUUUCCGCCAAAACAUUUCAAGAUUUAGUAAAACCAAGCUUUAAAUUUAAAUUUAGCGUAUGCUGCUAAUUGUGGCGCG